AUGCGCUCUUACUAUGAGCAUAACAACAUAGAUGGGAGGCCCAAAAUCAUGCUUGUGGGUAAGGGUGCCAGAGGUCUGGGUUUCAGUUUUGCUCCCAUGGGCAAAUUGCUUCGAGAGGCUCCUAGUCAAGGAACAUGGCUUGACACAAAGGUGGUUUGCUCCAAGCCUUGUCAUGGCAUGAACCUGUUAAGUACUGAGAGUGAGGACUAUCUCUACAACCCUUGCACAGGUUACUGCAGUAGCUACCACACUCGAGGGAGGUUCGCCUAUGUGCCCAACCAUAUACUCUCGAUGAUGCACGACAGUGUCCGUACACCAGAAGAUCAUGCUUUUGGUGUUGGCAACAGGAAUGCUGGCCUGGGGUUCAAUCUUCUUACACAGGAGCAUGUCAUUGUUCAAAUCUUAUAUCACUUGAAGGACUUCGAAUCUCGUCAAUAUUUAUUGACAUUCUCAGUAAUUGCCCCUGGUUCGGUGCAAGACCACUUUGAGCGGCCUCUUCCUUUAAAUGACAUGCCACCAACCUAUCUCUCAGGAGUACUAUAUUGGAUGAGUGAACCAAGGUUAGGACAGAGUUAUGAGAGGGCCAUUGUGUCGUAUAACAUUGCGACUAGGAUGUUUGGUGUCAUCCCUUGCCCCUCAAGCAUCGCAAUGUGGAACAGCACAAGUCCAUCCCAAGCAUUUGUGGUAGAGCUUGAGGGGAUAUUAUGUGCUGUUCAUGCAGAUCCAGUUGCAGAUGAGUUAGAUAUUUGGAAGCUGGAACAUGGUCGAUGGGAUAGAGCAUGUAGAAUAUAUUUAGAAGACUGCUCAGGCUAUUCCCUUGGGGCAAAUGUUGUGGUUCCCCUGGCCGUUGACCCCAAGGAUGGGAGAAUCAUGCUGAACACAGGGAGGAAAUUGGGUCUUUAUGAUCCUACGAAGCAAUCGGUUGAGAACUUGUAUGAUCUUGAUGAGGUCUUGCGUGUCACAAGUUCAGAGCAGUCUCCACGCGUUGGAGUGUAUGAAGACGUCCAAAUGACCAAAUGCGGACAUUAUGUCGAAAAGUUCUGUUUGCCGAAGUCACCUUUGGAGCAGCCCACGUUUUUCGAUGAGCCUUCACCUAAAUUAUCUGGGAAGCGAUUUACGUGCUCCAAUGGCGUUCAACCUUUGGAGGGGAGAACUCCUCUGGACAGUAAAGUUAUGCCUCUGGUCCCAAUGUUAUACGAGGAGAGCUUGGCAAGGUUUCCCCGUGUUUGCAAAACAAGGUGGUUAAGCUGA
This 1251-nucleotide ribosomal RNA is filed under the name Triticum aestivum (bread wheat). RNAcentral's name for it is "partial small subunit ribosomal RNA". The record is from RNAcentral. Lineage: Eukaryota; Viridiplantae; Streptophyta; Magnoliopsida; Poales; Poaceae.